This 51-nucleotide transfer RNA is filed under the name Porcellionides pruinosus. RNAcentral's name for it is "tRNA-Pro". Lineage: Eukaryota; Metazoa; Arthropoda; Malacostraca; Isopoda; Porcellionidae. The record is from RNAcentral.
AAGAUUAAUUUAAACAAAAUAUUAGUUUUGGAUACUAAAAUUCGCCUAUAA